GACGAACGCUGGCGGCGUGCUUAACACAUGCAAGUCGAACGAUGAAGCCUUUCGGGGUGGAUUAGUGGCGAACGGGUGAGUAACACGUGGGCAAUCUGCCCUGUACUUUGGGGAUAAGCCUUGGAAACGGGGGUCUAAUACCGGAUAUCACUUACCUCCGCAUGGGGUUUGGUUGAAAGUUCUGGCGGUACAGAGUGAGCCCGCCGGCCUACUCAGCUUGUUGGUGGGGUAGGUGGCCUACCAAGGCGACGACGGGUA
Molecule: ribosomal RNA, 258 nt
Filed under: uncultured bacterium
Lineage: Bacteria
Description: partial 16S ribosomal RNA
Rfam family: Bacterial small subunit ribosomal RNA
Source: RNAcentral